This is a long non-coding RNA of Leptidea sinapis, 637 nucleotides long. RefSeq lists it as uncharacterized. The record is from RefSeq and is a predicted model, not a curated record. Lineage: Eukaryota; Metazoa; Arthropoda; Insecta; Lepidoptera; Pieridae. The transcript is spliced from 3 exons.
CCUCUCCAAACUGCCAGAGGCAUCUCGUGCUCAAAUAGCUGGCACUUGCGAAACCGUAAGUAACAGUAUUUAAGCGUAGAAUUCUGAGGGGUUGAUGAUCUUUUUCUCUCCAUACUAUUUGCUGAAGAUUCCGAUCGGAAUUUUCCAAUUCCACUCGACGGAAUAACUUCUCAACUUCACCCGCAAUGAUAUACUUGUAAAACUGUGCUCGAAUUAGUAUGGAGAAAGGGAGUCCUGAAUUUGAGGCCUCGUCAUUUGUAUGUCGUUGACACUGAGACCAGAGGUAGUGCGAGCCAACGCAUUAAAAACCACUCUAAUUUUUGUGGUCUCGCUGUCUUCCUUGAAAACUGGAUGAUGAGCUUGAUUGAAGGAGUCACCCAGACAAUCAGGUUCAAGCUAAUAAAAGAAGAUUAGCUCCCACAUUCAAGUAGAGUCCGAACUGUUUCAGAUUGAGUAGUGUUUGGAUUUACAACUUUGAUCAAGGCGGUAGAUAAAAGAGCUUGGUUGAUUGCUACAAUUGGCUAGUGUCUCAGUGGAAAUAUUGGGGUUUGUUAAAGGAACGGCUCCGUUUGCCUUAAAAGAAGGGCAGUCGUAUAUCCUAUGGUCAGCAGAAUUACAACACGGGCAGAGAUAUGAU